UAGGGAAUAUUAGAAAUGGACGAAAGUCUGAUCUAGCAACACCGCGUGUGCGAAGAAGGCCUUUGGGUCGUAAAGCACUUUUUGGAAGGAAUAGGAAGGAAUGUACUUCCAGAAUAAGUCUCGGCUAACUACGUGCCAGCAGCCGCGGUAACACGUAGGAGGCAAACGUUAUCCGGAUUUACUGGGCGUAAAGCGCGUGUAGGUGGUACUGUAAGUAGGGCGUGAAAGCUCCUGGCUCAACUGGGAGAGGCCGUUCUAAACUACAGAACUAGAGGAUGGUAGAGGGGGGUGGAAUUCCAGGUGUAGCGGUGGAAUGCGCAGAUAUCUGGAGGAACACCGGUGGCGAAGGCGGCCUCCUGGACCAUUCCUGACACUCAGGCGCGAAAGCUAGGG
Molecule: ribosomal RNA, 393 nt
Filed under: uncultured bacterium
Lineage: Bacteria
Description: bacterial SSU rRNA
Rfam family: Bacterial small subunit ribosomal RNA
Source: RNAcentral